This 65-nucleotide transfer RNA is filed under the name Ibla cumingi. RNAcentral describes it as "tRNA-Thr". It matches the Rfam family "tRNA". Rfam says of the family: Transfer RNA (tRNA) molecules are approximately 80 nucleotides in length. Lineage: Eukaryota; Metazoa; Arthropoda; Thecostraca; Iblomorpha; Iblidae. The record is from RNAcentral.
GCUCAAGUAGUUUAAUUAAAAUAUUGGUCUUGUAAACCAUUGAUGAAUUCCACUUUCCUUGAGCU